Molecule: RNase P RNA, 351 nt
Filed under: Woeseiaceae bacterium
Lineage: Bacteria; Pseudomonadati; Pseudomonadota; Gammaproteobacteria; Woeseiales; Woeseiaceae
Description: partial RNase P RNA component class A
Rfam family: Bacterial RNase P class A
About the family: Ribonuclease P (RNase P) is a ubiquitous endoribonuclease, found in archaea, bacteria and eukarya as well as chloroplasts and mitochondria. Its best characterised activity is the generation of mature 5'-ends of tRNAs by cleaving the 5'-leader elements of precursor-tRNAs.
Source: RNAcentral
AGAGUUGACCAGGCAAUCGCUAUUACUUUUAUAAAAGAAUAAUAGAGGAAAGUCCGGGCUCCUUCGAACAAAGUGCCAGGUAAUACCUGGAGAGUGCAAACUCAUGGAAAGUGCCACAGAAAAUAUACCGCCUAAGCAUUUUAUGCCGGUAAGGUUGAAAAGGUGCGGUAAGAGCGCACCGCUUGAAUGGUAACAUUUAUGGCAGGGUAAACCCCACUUGGAGCAAGACCAAAUAGAGGAGUUAUUGAUUUUAAUCAAAUCGUGUGUUUCGAGCGAACUCCCGGGUAGGUUGCUAGAGGUAGUUGGUGACAACUAUCCCAGAUGAAUGAUUGUCCAUGACAGAACCCGGCU